AACGAACGCUGGCGGCAUGCCUAACACAUGCAAGUCGAACGAGACCUUCGGGUCUAGUGGCGCACGGGUGCGUAACGCGUGGGAACCUGCCCUUAGGUUCGGAAUAACUCCUCGAAAGGGGUGCUAAUACCGGAUAAUGUCUUCGGUCCAAAGAUUUAUCGCCUUUGGAUGGGCCCGCGUUGGAUUAGCUAGUUGGUAGGGUAAAAGCCUACCAAGGCGACGAUCCAUAGCUGGUCUGAGAGGAUGAUCAGCCACACUGGGACUGAGACACGGCCCAGACUCCUACGCGAGGCAGCAGUGGGGAAUAUUGGACAAUGGGCGAAAGCCUGAUCCAGCAAUGCCGCGUGAGUGAUGAAGGCCUUAGGGUUGUAAAGCUCUUUUACCCGGGAUGAUAAUGACAGUACCGGGAGAAUAAGCUCCGGCUAACUCCGUG
This 433-nucleotide ribosomal RNA is filed under the name uncultured bacterium. RNAcentral describes it as "partial 16S ribosomal RNA". It matches the Rfam family "Bacterial small subunit ribosomal RNA", at positions 29 to 507 of the family's 1533-position model. The record is from RNAcentral.